AGAAAAGGCAAAAUUUUAAUACUUUGUUGAAGCAUAUUGGAAAUGUCUCUUCUAAAGGGGAGCCCAGGACAUGUGACUAACCAGAAUCCUGAAGUUGUUGUGCCUGAAUGGAGUAAACUAAAUGUCAGAAGCAAGUGGUUCUGAGGAGUGCAAGGGGUGGCCUGCAGUGGCUGCUAUUGGCAUCCUUCUUAUUCCCCAGCGGCUCCACAUUCUCAGCCUCAGCUCCUUCAUCUCCCUCUGACUUCAAAGGAAUCUCUGCAUGAAGAAGGAGGGCGCACAAUAGAAGAAUUGGCCUGAUUAUCCCCUUCUGUUUGGAAAUGGGUGAAGAUUACAGAUAUGUUUUACUUCUUCCUGUGCUUUGGACUAUAUAAUGUCAACUACCUCAAGCAAAACUCUCUACCCUGGCUAAUAUAUAGAUUUGGAUUAUACCAAAAUUGCCUAAAAUUGGAAACAAGACAUUAAUAAUAAUCUGUAAUGGCGUAACAUAAUAGAAUACAUGUUUAUUUUCAUUGGCUUUAGCUGGUAUUAAAAAAAAAGGUAAAUUAGUUUAGAGAUGUAAAUUUUAUAUUUAUUAUAUCCUGACCUUUUUGCUCAUCCUCCACCACUUUAUAUUAUGAAUGAGGUAAUUAAAAAGAAUCCACUU
RNAcentral lists this non-coding RNA (643 nucleotides) under Pan troglodytes (chimpanzee). The record is from RNAcentral. Lineage: Eukaryota; Metazoa; Chordata; Mammalia; Primates; Hominidae.